RNAcentral lists this ribosomal RNA (1123 nucleotides) under human gut metagenome. RNAcentral describes it as "bacterial LSU rRNA". It matches the Rfam family "Bacterial large subunit ribosomal RNA", at positions 830 to 1977 of the family's 2925-position model. The record is from RNAcentral.
CAAUCGAACCCGGAGAUAGCUGGUUCUCCUCGAAAUAGCUUUAGGGCUAGCCUCGUAUUAGUCUAGCGGAGGUAGAGCACUGAAUAUCCUAGGGGGCGUCAAAGCUUACCGAAGAUUAUCAAACUCCGAAUGCCGCAGAGAUGAUGUACGGGAGUCAGACUGCACGAGAUAAGUUGGGUAGUCAAAAGGGAAAGAGCCCAGACCAUCAGCUAAGGUCCCAAAGUGUGUGUUAAGUGGUAAAGGAUGUGGGAUUUCGAAGACAACUAGGAUGUUGGCUCAGAAGCAGCCAUACAUUCAAAGAGUGCGUAAUAGCUCACUAGUCGAGAGGUCCUGCGCCGAAAAUGUCCGGGGCUGAAACACAACACCGAAGCCGUGGACUCCGUAAGGAGUGGUAGAGGAGCAUUCUUAAAACCGACGAAGCUGUACCGGUAAGGAGCAGUGGAGGGAUAAGAAGAGAGAAUGCCGGAAUGAGUAGCGAGAGGAAGGUGGGAAUCCUUCCGGCCGAAUAUCUAAGGUUUCCAGAGUAAAGCUGAUCUGCUCUGGGUAAGUCGGGGCCUAAGGAGAGGUCGCAAGACGUAUCCGAUGGACAACAGGUUUAGAUUCCUGUACCGCAUAUAAACAGAACUGUGGGGACGCAUGUGGAAAGCAUAAGCCGGGAAUGGAAAGACCGGUACAAGCGGGGUAGGUGUGUGACAGGCAAAUCCGUCAUAUAAGCCGAAGACGUGAUGUGGAGCGAAAUUAAGUAGUGAAGUAUGUGAGCCAUGUGCCGAGAAAAGCCGCUAUUGUUUUAUAUGUGCCCGUACCGUAAACCGACACAGGUGGAUGAGGAGAGAAUCCUAAGGCCGACGGAAGAAGCAUUGUUAAGGAAUUCGGCAAAAUGACCCCGUAACUUCGGGAGAAGGGGUGCCCACUGAAUGGUGGGCCGCAGAGAAUAGGCUCAAGCAACUGUUUAGCAAAAACACAGGUCUAUGCGAAACCGAAAGGUGAGGUAUAUGGGCUGACGCCUGCCCGGUGCUGGAAGGUUAAGAGGAGAGGUUAGCGCAAGCGAAGCUUUGAAUUUAAGCCCCAGUAAACGGCGGCCGUAACUAUAACGGUCCUAAGGUAGCGAAAUUCCUUGUCGGGU